CUUUCCACAGGUGUUUCCACGAGAUUGACCUACAGUCCCCUGUCACCAGUAUCACCUGGGAUUCUGCUCACUGUCACAUGUCAUACUCACAGUCAUGAUGAGAUCACUACCCAGCUCUGAGCACCAGGAGGACCUCGGCAUGUCUAAAACCAAUCUUAAGGCCAAGUGCAGAGCCUUAGGGACAGAGUUAGAGAAACAGCUGCAGCCAGAAGCCUGAGCUGCUGAGUGGCUGCUGUGGAAGAAGGCUCAGCAAUGAAGCAAGGAGCAAGGGAACCAGCAAUGAGGAGGAGAGAGAUGCAGGAGCCAGGGAAGUUCCCAGAGCCAUGGAGCACCCAGCAGAGUAUCAGGGAGGCACCGAGGACCCAUGAGCUGACCAUGGCUGGAUGGAAGGCCCUAGGACCAGCACGGCUAAGCCCCAGGGAGCAAUGUCAUGGAAAGCCAGGACUCAUGAAGUAGCAUGACAGUCAAGGGCAUGGGAGGCAGAGAUAGAGCUACUUGCUGAAAACUACAUGUUCAAUGGAGAAAAAUCUCCCGCUCCCAGGAGAGAACUGUCUUGCCACCUGGGAUCCUGAAGCUUCCACCUUGGCACCCCUGAUGCUUAGACGGGGUAGAAGGCUUAUUAAGCAUCUGUAACAGCUUUAGGAUUCCCGUGCAUGAUCUCAGGAGAUUGGACUUCUGGCAGAGACAGUGGACAUCUGGGGCCGCAGCCCCGAGGCCAGGAUCAAACCCACAACCUCAAGGUUCCUUAUCAGAUUCGUUUCUGCUGCACCACUGCAGGAACUCCCAUAAGGUUCUUAAUUAAAGAGGAAGAGACCAGAGUGGGCGAUCCCCUCUCCUCUCCUUUCCUCUCCCUUCUCUCCCCUGCCCCACACCCCUCUUUAUCUGCCUUGAAAGAACACAAUUAGAAGGCAGCCGGGAAGAGAAACCUCACCAAUAAUCAGAAAUGUGGCUCCUUGAGCUCAGACUUCUAGCAUCCAGAAUUGUGAGAAAUAAAUGUCUGCUGCUUAAGCCA
Molecule: long non-coding RNA, 1012 nt
Filed under: Sus scrofa (pig)
Lineage: Eukaryota; Metazoa; Chordata; Mammalia; Artiodactyla; Suidae
Description: lncRNA (ENSSSCG00050050170.1, ENSSSCG00070024641.1)
Source: RNAcentral